UGGGACACGCAGGACAAGAACGGGACAGUUGGGUUUAGGAAAAGAAGAACGGGACAGUUGGGUUCAGGAAAAGAAGAAAGGGUCAGCUGGGUUUAGGAAUAGCAGAACGAGACAGUUGGGUUUAGGAAAAGAAGAAAGGGACUGUUGGGUUUAGGAAAAGAAGAACGGGACAGUUGGGUUUAGGAAAAGAAGAAAGGGACAGUUGGGUUUAGGAAAAGAAGAACGGGACAGUUGGGUUGAGGAAUAGAAGAACCGGACAGUCGGGCUCAGGAAAAGAAGAACGGGACAGUUGGGUUUAGGAAAAGAAGAACGGGACAGUUGGGUUUAGGAAAAGAAGAACGAGACAGUUGGGUUUAGGAGAAGA
Molecule: long non-coding RNA, 364 nt
Organism: Etheostoma cragini (Arkansas darter)
Lineage: Eukaryota; Metazoa; Chordata; Actinopteri; Perciformes; Percidae
Exons: 3
Source: RefSeq, a predicted model, not a curated record